CCCUAAACUUAGAUAUUUCAAAUACAAAAAUAUCCGCCAGAAAACUACGAGCAAAAUGCUUAAAACUCCAAGGACUUGGCGGUACUUCAUAUCCCCCUAGAGGAGCCUGUUCUAUAAUCGAUAAUCCACGUUAAACCUCACCAUCUUUUGCCAACCCAGCCUAUAUACCACCGUCACAGCCUACCCUGUGAGAGCAAAAAAGUAAGCUAAACAGUUCAAACAACUAGCAAGUCAGGUCAAGGUGUAGCCAAUUAAGAUGGAAGAAAUGGGCUACAUUUUCUACAAUAGAAAUACCCACGAAACAGAACCGUGAAAUAUGGUCUAAACAAGCAGGAUUUAGUAGUAAACUGAGAACAGAGAGCUCAAUUUAAAACGGACCUGAAGUACGC
Molecule: ribosomal RNA, 389 nt
Filed under: Apalone mutica (smooth softshelled turtle)
Lineage: Eukaryota; Metazoa; Chordata; Testudines; Trionychidae
Description: partial 12S ribosomal RNA
Rfam family: Bacterial small subunit ribosomal RNA
Source: RNAcentral